RNAcentral lists this long non-coding RNA (447 nucleotides) under Elaeis guineensis (African oil palm). Its description in RNAcentral is "long non-coding RNA (EGUI_LNC057843)". Lineage: Eukaryota; Viridiplantae; Streptophyta; Magnoliopsida; Arecales; Arecaceae. The record is from RNAcentral.
GUGUGCACAUGAAGUAGAGGGUCUGCACUUUCAAGUCUUCAUGAAGCUUGAUUCCAGAUAUUUGAAGAUUUGAUCUCCUAUUCUACUACUAUCUAGAUAAAAAUUUGAUCCUUAGUCAUAUAGAUUUAUAAAAAAAUUUUAGAUGCAAUUCUGGUUGCUCGAAGAGAAACAGUUUUUCGUCCCUUCACCUAGCACCUCCUUUCUUUCCUUUUUGGGAUUGGUGGCCAAGAAACCUUAGGGUUUCUUGCUGCUAGAAUGUGAAGAAGACCAGAGAGAGAGGAAGAAAGAGAGAGAAAAUUAGGGAGAAAAUAGUUUUGUAUUCAUUCAUUUCAUCAAGUCAGAAUACAGUGUAUUUUUAUAUAUAGGGUCAAUGUGAUCCAACCCAAAAACUUUUCUGGCUAACUCAAUAUAAGAUUGUACUCACCCAAGCCUAUAUACACCCAUGAC